AAUGAACGCUGGCGGCAGGCCUAACACAUGCAAGUCGAACGGAUCCUUCGGGAUUAGUGGCGGACGGGUGAGUAACGCGUGGGAACAUACCCAAAGGUACGGAAUAGCCUCGGGAAACUGGGAGUAAUACCGUAUGUGCUCGAAAGAGGAAAGAUUUAUCGCCUUUGGAUUGGCCCGCGUUGGAUUAGGUAGUUGGUGGGGUAAUGGCCUACCAAGCCGACGAUCCAUAGAUGGUGUGAGAGGAUGAUCAGCCACACUGGGACUGAGACACGGCCCAGACUCCUACGGGAGGCAGCAGUGGGGAAUCUUAGACAAUGGGGGAAACCCUGAUCUAGCCAUGCCGCGUGAUCGAUGAAGGCCUUAGGGUUGUAAAGAUCUUUCAGGUGGGAAGAUAAUGACUGUACCACCAGAAGAAGCCCCGGCUAACUCCGUGCCAGCAGCCGCCGUAA
RNAcentral lists this ribosomal RNA (449 nucleotides) under uncultured bacterium. Its description in RNAcentral is "partial 16S ribosomal RNA". It matches the Rfam family "Bacterial small subunit ribosomal RNA", at positions 29 to 523 of the family's 1533-position model. The record is from RNAcentral.